RNAcentral lists this ribosomal RNA (245 nucleotides) under uncultured bacterium. Its description in RNAcentral is "partial 16S ribosomal RNA". It matches the Rfam family "Bacterial small subunit ribosomal RNA", at positions 524 to 768 of the family's 1533-position model. The record is from RNAcentral.
UACGUAGGUGGCGAGCGUUGUCCGGAGUUACUGGGCGUAAAGGGUGAGUAGGCGGGAUGUUGCGUCCCUGGUGAAAUCUCCUGGCUUAACUGGGAGGGGUUCAGGGAUACGGGCAUUCUUGAGGUCUGGAGAGGGUAGCAGAAUUCCCGGUGUAACAGUGAAAUGUGUAGAGAUCGGGAGGAAUACCGGAGGGGAAGCCGGCUAUCUGGCCAGGACCUGACGCUGAGGCACGAAAGCUUGGGGAG